ACAGACAGACAGCCCUGAGAAUGAUAUCGUCAGGUGGAACCCAUCCUCAAUAAAGUACAGAAGUAAAAUAGAGGAGCUCCGGACAGAUUCCUCCAGAAAGAAAGUCGGGAACCUCUACUUUUCUAGAAGGAAUAAAUACAUUAUUGGCUCUGGAGGAAGUGGCACGGUUUAUCUUGGCCUGAAGGAAGAUGGCACUGAGGUGGCCAUUAAACGAAUAAUCAAGGACCAACAGGAAAGCAGUUACUUUGAAAAUGAACUAAAGCAUCUACGAGAUUUAAAUCUUGAAAGCAAGAACAUUGUCAGGAAGAACAACAAGACAAAGACACCGCUUUGAGGAAAAUAGUGAAGGAGAUUCUUCACCGUGCUGGAGUGAUACAUCGCGAUAUAAAGCCUGCAAAUGUUUUGAUGGAUUCAGGAAAAAAUGCAAGGCUGGCUGACUUUGGCAUAAGUCGUAAACUGGAGGAGGGCAGAAGCACAGUGCAUACUGCUAGAGCUGGUACACAAGGCUGGGAAGCUACGGAGAUCCUGAAUCAAGAAACAGGUUACAAGAAGAGUUCAGAC
Sinocyclocheilus grahami is the source of this 561-nucleotide long non-coding RNA. RefSeq lists it as uncharacterized. NCBI's taxonomy places the organism in Eukaryota, Metazoa, Chordata, Actinopteri, Cypriniformes, Cyprinidae. The transcript has 3 exons. The record is from RefSeq and is a predicted model, not a curated record.